ACCAAAUGACGAGUCCCAAAUGGGACGAAAUGCGCGUUAUCCUGGAU
Molecule: non-coding RNA, 47 nt
Filed under: Trichobilharzia regenti
Lineage: Eukaryota; Metazoa; Platyhelminthes; Trematoda; Strigeidida; Schistosomatidae
Source: RNAcentral